This is a long non-coding RNA of Fundulus heteroclitus (mummichog), 578 nucleotides long. RefSeq lists it as uncharacterized. The record is from RefSeq and is a predicted model, not a curated record. The transcript is spliced from 2 exons. NCBI's taxonomy places the organism in Eukaryota, Metazoa, Chordata, Actinopteri, Cyprinodontiformes, Fundulidae.
CUUUUAUGGCUCGGCGGUGCUGGGCUCUGAAAUGGAGAUCGAGCAUCAAAUUCAACAGUAGUCUCUCUUCCAGAAAGCUCCACAAGUUCCACGAGUCAACACACAGACAGAGUCUUUUCUUCAGAGCCCAGCUGCAAACGAUUAAACACUAGCCACAUAAGCUGCAGCUCGAAGUAACACUGCGACGAGCCGAGGAGUUAAGUAAUAACCUAUUACUUGAGUGAAAUGUCACCGCAUUCGCGUUAGCAAACAAUGGUUUAACUUUUGAGUCCAUCUGUAACUGAGUCAGCUCCAGUAAUUAGACCGAGCCCGGGAGGGGAAAAAAAGGGCAAGAACAUCCUUUACCUUGAAGCGUUUUUAGCCAGCAGCAGCAAAUGUCUCCCGUUUCCCAUGCACGAGGAUAACGCUCCGCCGGCCAGAGAAAAAGUCCCGCUCACAGACGCUUCGUGUACGUUCAUAGAAAAGUAAGGCAAGCCGGUACGGCCGGGCUUCUUCUUGAAAAGCUAGCCAGCGUUAAGUUAGCCUGUUCCCAUUGACUCCCCGGGCCAGCCCAUGCAGCCGUAAUACGUGUACACAAA